CGCGGGUUUACAGGCGGAAGUGAGGGGCGAACCCGACGCAGCGCGCCCCGUUUGAAACCGGAGACUCAGUCCUGCUGAGACGCGAGUGAUGAAAGAAGGCCAGCAUCUGGUGGGAAAGAACAGCGGAAAAACUUCAGCCUUGGGUCCUCCUUUUGUGUCAGGCAAGCCUUUACUGCAGACCAUUUAUGUGCCAGGCACCACACGUUGAGAUGCUGGUUCAAAGAUGAAGAAAGUGAGUUUUCUAUCCUUGGGGAACGCAGUGUGGAAGACAGAUAGCAGGAAGUUUUUUCCAGCUGGUCACAGAGUGGAAACAAGAGACAUUCCUAGUGUGAGAAGGAUUUCAUGCACAAUUACUGACUGGUGGCCUGCAAAAGCUGAGAGCAACCCCCAGCUGACAGUGUUCCAGGAAAGGAGAACCUCCGUCUUACAACCACAAGGAAUCCCUGACAACCUAAAUGAGCCUGGAUACAGACUCUUACCCAGAGCCUCCGGAUAAGACCCCUGCCCUUGAUUUUGGCCUGGUGAAAAUCUAAGCAGAGAACCA
This is a long non-coding RNA of Hipposideros armiger (great roundleaf bat), 544 nucleotides long. RefSeq lists it as uncharacterized. NCBI's taxonomy places the organism in Eukaryota, Metazoa, Chordata, Mammalia, Chiroptera, Hipposideridae. The record is from RefSeq and is a predicted model, not a curated record. The transcript has 4 exons.